Molecule: ribosomal RNA, 102 nt
Filed under: Periophthalmus magnuspinnatus
Lineage: Eukaryota; Metazoa; Chordata; Actinopteri; Gobiiformes; Gobiidae
Source: RNAcentral
UUAGAUGGCUAUACCUCCAGGUCAGAUCUCUUUUUCUAAGCAGGGCUGGGCCUGGUUAGUACUUGGAAGGGAGGCCGCUGGGAAUACCAGGUGCCACAGAAG